CGCGUAGGUGGUAGUGAAAGUCUAUGGUGGAAUCUUAGGGCUUAACCCUAAAACUGCCUUGGAAACUUCAUUACUUGAGUCAGUGAGGGGAGGGUAGAAUUCCUGGUGUAGCGGUGAAAUGCGUAGAUAUCAGGAGGAAGCCGGUGGCGAAGGCGGCCCUCUGGCGCUGAACUGACGCUGAGGCGCGAAAGCGUGGGUAGCAAAACAGGAUUAGAUACCCUGGUAGUCCACGCCCUAAACGGUGGGUACUAGGUGUAGGGCUCGUAAGGGUUCUGUGCCGAAGGGAACCAUUAAGUACCCCCGCCUGGGGAGUACGGCCGCAAGGUUGAA
Molecule: ribosomal RNA, 330 nt
Filed under: uncultured bacterium
Lineage: Bacteria
Description: bacterial SSU rRNA
Rfam family: Bacterial small subunit ribosomal RNA
Source: RNAcentral